AACGACUCUCGGCAACGGAUAUCUCGGCUCACGCAUCGAUGAAGAACGCAGCAAAAUGCGAUACUUGGUGUGAAUUGCAGAAUCCCGUGAACCAUCGAGUUUUUGAACGCAAGUUGCGCCCGAAGCCAUCCGGCCGAGGGCACGUCUGCCUGGGCGUCACAC
RNAcentral lists this ribosomal RNA (162 nucleotides) under Macroclinidium rigidulum. Its description in RNAcentral is "5.8S ribosomal RNA". It matches the Rfam family "5.8S ribosomal RNA". Rfam says of the family: 5.8S ribosomal RNA (5.8S rRNA) is a component of the large subunit of the eukaryotic ribosome. It is transcribed by RNA polymerase I as part of the 45S precursor that also contains 18S and 28S rRNA. Lineage: Eukaryota; Viridiplantae; Streptophyta; Magnoliopsida; Asterales; Asteraceae. The record is from RNAcentral.